ACGCUGGCGGCAUGCCUAAUACAUGCAAAUCGAACGAAGCCUUUUAGGCUUAGUGGUGAACGGGUGAGUACCACGUAUCCAAUCUACCCUUAAGUUGGGGAUAACUAGUCGAAAGAUUAGCUAAUACCGAAUAAUAACAUCAAUAUCGCAUGAGAAGAUGUAGAAAGUCGCUCUUUGUGGCGACGCUUUUGGAUGAGGGUGCGACGUAUCAGAUAGUUGGUGAGGUAAUGGCUCACCAAGUCAAUGACGCGUAGCUGUACUGAGAGGUAGAACAGCCACAAUGGGACUGAGACACGGCCCAUACUCCUACGGGAGGCAGCAGUAGGGAAUUUUUCACAAUGGGCGCAAGCCUUAUGAAGCAAUGCCGCGUGAACGAUGAAGGUCUUAUAGAUUGUAAAGUUCUUUUAUAUGGGAAGAAACGCUAAAAUAGGAAAUGAUUUUAGUUUGACCGUACCAUUUGAAUAAGUAUCGGCUAACUAUGUGCCAGCAGCCGCGGUAAUACAUAGGAUGCAAGCGUUAUCCGGAUUUACUGGGCGUAAAACGAGCGCAGGCGGGUUUGUAAGUUUGGUAUUAAAUCUAGAUGCUUAACGUCUAGCUGUAUCAAAAACUGUAAACCUAGAGUGUAGUAGGGAGUUGGGGAACUCCAUGUGGAGCGGUAAAAUGCGUAGAUAUAUGGAAGAACACCGGUGGCGAAGGCGCCAACUUGGACUAUCACUGACGCUUAUGCUCGAAAGUGUG
This 738-nucleotide ribosomal RNA is filed under the name uncultured Ureaplasma sp. Its description in RNAcentral is "bacterial SSU rRNA". It matches the Rfam family "Bacterial small subunit ribosomal RNA", at positions 33 to 763 of the family's 1533-position model. Lineage: Bacteria; Bacillati; Mycoplasmatota; Mycoplasmoidales; Mycoplasmoidaceae. The record is from RNAcentral.